UGCUGGCAGCUGUCUGGUCUCUUCCCCUUUCACAGUUUGCACCCCAGCCUCAGCUCCUGGGCCUCAUCCCCAUCCUCCACUAAGCACAGCUUGGACUCCAGCUUGGCCUGGCAUCCAAGGUUCUUCACAGCCCGCACUUGUCCCUUGGAGGGUUGCUGUGAGUAGAGCUGAGACUUCUUGGCAGUCCACUGCCAGGCAGGCAGUAGCUUGUUAACCAUGCCGUCACCUCACAGCCCAAUCGUGGCAGCCUGCUUUGGCCACACACACCUUCUUUGCAUUGACCCCUAUUUCCUGCAAGACUUUAUGUUCCUGCCACUGAGGACCCGAUCCCCAUAGACCAUCCACAUCUUACAGGCAGGGAAGGCCAAGUUCAUUCCAUCCUUUCCCAGCUACUCUCCCCUCUUGCACCCAGGGCGCUUGCUCUCAGGAACAUUUUUACUGGGAAAUUUUUAACUUUCUCCAACUACCUUUUCUGUGGCUUCUUUCCGUCUUUGUCAUGCCAUCACUCCCCACUGUUUCCAGGCUUUGUCCCGGGGUGACACUGCAUGCCCCAGCCCAGCAUGAUCACACCUGGGCAGCACGAUCUCAUCUGUUUCCCUGCUUCCUCCGCCCCUCCUUGGUGUUGUGUAUGCAGGUUUAAUGAACCCUGAAGCACUUUUACAACCUGAACUCACUCGAGGUUAUUUAUGUCUAAGUUUCUAACUAGAAACCCGGCCUCCUUCCUUGGACCAAUCCUGGGUUUCUCCAGAGCCCUUGGCUGAACCUCAGUAACAGAGCCCUGAGGCUGACCUUUCCCCACUGGCAUUCCUCUUGCCAGGCCUUGCCAGGCCUUGAGGGACGGGGACAGUGCUGCUACAGCAGCAGAAAUGAACGUGAGGAGAGGGGGUGGGGCAAGCACAGCCCUGUCACAAUGUGAUGGAGUAAAUGGCUUGCUUUCCCACCCCAGGUGUCUUAAGACAGGUGGGCAGGCC
Molecule: long non-coding RNA, 971 nt
Filed under: Homo sapiens (human)
Lineage: Eukaryota; Metazoa; Chordata; Mammalia; Primates; Hominidae
Description: non-protein coding lnc-PPP2R5B-6:1
Source: RNAcentral